CGUUCUCGCCGGAUGUAGGAACCGACCCGGGGACCGCCGGGGCAACCCGGCGCCCCCGAGACGGGGCGAACCACGGUGAAAUGACGGAUCGUCGGCCCCGCGCCGGCGACUCGCCGAAUGAGUUUCUGACCUAUCAACUCGAGACGGCGGGGUAGAGGCCCGCCGCGGUAACGACGGGUAACGGGGAAUCAGGGUUCGAUUCCGGAGAGGGAGCCCGAGAAACGGCUACCACUUCCAAGGAAGGCAGCAGGCGCGCAACUUACCCUAAUCUCGAUUCGAGGAGGUAGUGACAAGAAAUACCGAUGCGGGACCCUACGGGUGCCGCGUUCGGAAUGAGUACGAUUCGAACCACCUAACGAGGAACGAUCGGAGGGCAAGUCUGGUGCCAGCAGCCGCGGUAAUUCCAGC
RNAcentral lists this ribosomal RNA (408 nucleotides) under uncultured eukaryote. RNAcentral's name for it is "bacterial SSU rRNA". It matches the Rfam family "Eukaryotic small subunit ribosomal RNA", at positions 202 to 589 of the family's 1831-position model. The record is from RNAcentral.